CCUGCUGUGCCCCAGAGAUGUAAACUGCGAUGGGACUUUGCCUGGGAGAAAGACAUCAGCGUUGUGCAGAGUGGAGCACAGAAAUGUCCUUAUGCAGAUUUCUGACAGGGUCAGAGUGGAAUUUCUAAUUCCUGCAGCAGUGAAAUAAGCAGGGUAAUCUUGCAGAAGGGCAGAGCAUCAGUUCUGCUCAGGUUUGCUGUGUGUUGGGAGCUUCUCCUCGGUCAUCCAUAGAAGAUAUGAAGCAUCCUGCCUUCUCUCCCACUGUGACAAGAGCCGUGCCCCGAGAGCUGUAGAUGGAAAUGUAGUUCAAACCACAGCAUGACCGUCCAUUCGUCUGCUUAUUUGUGAAAGCUGUUGGUGAGGCAGUGGGAGGUGUGGGACUGAGGAUGGAGCAGGGAGAGCCAUGAGAGCAGCAGGAGACAGCGCUGGGAGCAUCAGAUGGGUGAGUGAACACAACAAAGCUCAUGUACUCACACUGUCAAUACUAAAUAUCUGUGUGUUAUGGAAUGAGAGGGACAAGCUAACUGUUGGUGGAACCGUUCUUGGAUAUCUAAGACAGUGAUCUUUUUGAUCGCUGUUUUUGCUGACAUGUGAAUCUAUUCUCUGGUGGUUCUGAUUCUUGAGGCGUGUGACAGCCCCACAGUGCCCCAACCUGCACUGCUUUGUCCUGCAGUGCCGUCCUGCCCUGCAGCGAUCUGUCCCUGCCUUCCAAAGUCACAAUGAUCUCUGCUGGUGUUAAACACUCCAAAUGGCAAAGCUGGAGCAAUUUUAAGGCUGCAUGAUAACGGAG
RNAcentral lists this long non-coding RNA (790 nucleotides) under Gallus gallus (chicken). Lineage: Eukaryota; Metazoa; Chordata; Aves; Galliformes; Phasianidae. The record is from RNAcentral.